This is a long non-coding RNA of Equus asinus (donkey), 2976 nucleotides long. Lineage: Eukaryota; Metazoa; Chordata; Mammalia; Perissodactyla; Equidae. The record is from Ensembl.
AAUUAGAUCUUCAAAUUUACUCAGCUGAAUUUUGUUUUUUAACACAGUCAAAUGCUGGUGUAUGUUUUUCUUAUAUCUCCUUCGGCAGCCAGCAUUGUGUGCUAAAGUAGAGUAAGCCAGCUAUAAACACUGGUCAAAUAAAAGCACAAAUUAGUGUUUUCCUACUACCCUCUUUUUUCACAUAAUUUCCUUGCCUUCUACUUUACCCUUCAUGACAAGACUCAAUGUCUAUGUAUAAUGUGUCUUGAAGUUUUUAGAAAGAUAGCUGUAAAAAUCUAGUAAAUGAGUAAUAGUGAUAAUACCUGAAGAAUUCUAUCCAUUGAAGAUUCCGUUAAUUUGGACUUAAGCCUGCUAUAGCGCAUUGACAAUCGGUUUCAAAAAGUGAAGUGCAGUGGAAGGAGAACAAGAUUACAAAUCAGGGGGUCUAAUCCUCUUCCCGUGUGCCCCUAACUUGCUCGGUGACCUUGGACAGACGCUUAUCUUCUUUAUGCCUCCAGCCUCCUUCUGUAAAGGGAUGAGCUGUAGCCAAUGUCCUCUUCCUGGUAAUGGACAGAGCCGGGGCCACUGUCCGGAGAGGAGAUAGAAUCCUGUCAGAACAGCUUUUCUUUACCACUUCUGGAUCUGCUCCGGAGUUAGAAGGCUGGCGUCUCCAUCAUUCAAUAUUUCACCCCAGCACCAAACCGACAUGGAUACUUUUGAUAUCAUUCAAGGUGCCUCUAAAGAAGGAUACAGUCUGGGAUCAGUUUAAAUGGAAUCCAUCUGAAAGAACCAGAAGGAAUGAUGGUUUCAGACAUGGAGAAUGUUCUGCUUCUAUUUUAGCAAUAAAUUUGACCUUUGUUUUUCUGGCAGCCGAGGCAUAAGGAGUAACAUGAAUGGACUAUUUAUACUUGCUGGACAAAUAGUAGGCUCAAUAAAUAUUUUUUCAUUGACUCUCAACCACCCCUUAGUUGGGAAGGCAAAAUACUGAUAGAGAAGUCCCAGAAGAAUGGAGCACAGGGUGGGUGGCUAGAAAGGUUUUUGGUGAAGGGAGAAUCCUAAAACAAGCUUCAAACUCCCCUGUCUCAACCCGUUGCCAAGGCUAGGCCAUUCUGAGAAAUUCCCAUGAUACAUGCAGGCCACCAGCAUGGCUCCAGGAGGUGAGGCAUGCCCAGUCGUUCCCUGUAGCAGUUCCAUUCCAGGAUGGAAGGUCCAUCUUGAUCUGUAGGCCAGAUAUUUCUUUGAGGAAAAUGUAGCAUUGUCUCUUUUACCCAAUCACAUACCUUUGGAAGGAAAAAAAGGCAACCCUCUACCUGUAGAUCCUUAAGCCUGAGCCCUAACCAGCUGCAGAGCUGGCUCAGAGAACCCUUCGUUACAUAAAGCUUCUGCCCCUGACUGAGGGAUGAACACAGCACCUCCUCACCGGCAGUUAGCUGCUGCCCCUCAGAUUCCCAAAGCCUGCCCUUGGGAUUCAGGGUCAGGCCCAGGCUCAGCCCCAAUUGCCCUUGUGUGAGAGAUUACUCAGUUUCAGAUCUCUGAAAUUCUCUGGGUUUCCCGGUGGAUGGGGAGCUCUCUUCAUUCUUGCUAUUCCUCAGCUUCCACGUUCCUUCACAACGGCCACUUUAAAAAGUCUUUUCUCUGCUGCUUCUUUCCCAGAUUCAGGCUUUUCCUACUACAGCCUCCUCAAAGUUAUUUCUGCUUGCUCCAGUAGGGGAGCUAGGCAGGUAAGUCCCCUCAACCCUGUAGCUGGCCUCCUUACUGUGACCCCCACCAAGUCAGUCCUAUUUGGAAACCUAAUUUGCCUUGCUCCGGGGUACCCCAACCACAGGCUCUUAAGACCAAUAAAACUCAGUGGGAAACAACCUUAUGAGGUGAUUGGGUCCAGCCUCUUGCUCCUGGAAAGGUGAAUCUCCAAAUCUUAUGAGGCAAUUAUUCCACCCUACCUUCUGACUGUCCCGGCACUAUGCAAUGACUCUUGUAGGUGAGCUCUUCUUUAGAUGAAACCUGACUUUUUCCUGCCCUAACUGAGGCCCCAAUUCUCAUCUCAUCCAUUGCAUCAGUGACAAACGCCUGAUGAGUGUUUCUUUUCUGUCCUUAGCCUUCUCUUCAGCAGAGAAAGUUUCCCCAGAAAUAAAACUCUGAGUGUUCUACUCCUUCCUUCCAGUUGCCUCCUCUAAGCACCCUCUAAAUCAGACCCAGGGCUCCAGAGGGAGUAAUCUCCUUUCUCUCGCAGCUGCUCUGAGUUUUGCCGUCUGGGCUUAGAACAGCUUGAAGUUAGCACAAAGGCGAAUGAAGCUUUAAAUCUCCAGCACUUAACAGCUUCUCUGCAGCCUCAGAGGAUCCUCAAACAACGCUGCAACCUAGGGAGAAAAGGAAAUGUGAUAUUCAUUGAGAUUCCUCAUGUCCCAGCCCUCCAGGUCACCUAAGGAUGGGAGCUGGUCAUCAGAGGAACCAAUCCUGCGAUCAGAGGGCUGGAAUUUUCAGUCCCAUCGCCAGCCCCCCCCCCAACCAACAUCUUCCAGGAGGAGAGAGGGACUGGAGAUCGAGUUCAGUCACCAAUGGCCAAUGAUUUAAUCAAUCGUGCCUAUGUAAUGAAGCCUCCAUAAAAACCCAAAAGAUGGGGUUCACAGAGCUUCUGGGUUGAUGAACAUGUGGAGAUGUGGGGAGAGUGGCGGGCCCAGAGAGAGCAUGGAAGCUCCACGACCUUUCCCACAUGCCUUGCUCUAUACAUCUCUUCCAUUCGGCUGUUCCUGAGUUAUAUCCUUUAUAAUAAACUGGUAAUCUAGUAAGUAAAAUGUUCCUCUGAGUUCUGUGAGCCACUGUAGGAAAUUAAUUGAACCCAAGGAGGGGGUUGUUGGAACCUCUAAUCUAUAGCAGGUCAAUCAGAAGCACAGGUGACAGCCUGGACUUGCAGUUGGUGUCUGAAGCGGGGGCACUCUUAUAGAACCAAGCCCUUAACCUGUGGGAUCUGACACUAUCGCCAGGUAGAUAGUCAGAAUU